UAGCGCGUACACGCCGCCCGUACUCUUACCGAGCCAUAGUCAGACAAUACAUAAAAAAUCAUUCUGGGUGAAGGGGAGGCAAGUCGUAACAUGGUAAGUGU
This 101-nucleotide ribosomal RNA is filed under the name Paratherina cf. labiosa ZSM 33055. RNAcentral describes it as "partial 12S ribosomal RNA". Lineage: Eukaryota; Metazoa; Chordata; Actinopteri; Atheriniformes; Telmatherinidae. The record is from RNAcentral.